Molecule: ribosomal RNA, 526 nt
Filed under: Capitulum mitella
Lineage: Eukaryota; Metazoa; Arthropoda; Thecostraca; Pollicipedomorpha; Pollicipedidae
Description: partial 16S ribosomal RNA
Rfam family: Bacterial large subunit ribosomal RNA
Source: RNAcentral
UUCCUCUUGGUAUAAGAGGUAAGGCCUGCUCACUGACUAGGUUGAAGAGCCGCAGUAUAUUGACUGUGCUAAGGUAGCAUAAUCAUUAGUCCUUUAAUUGGGGACUGGUAUGAAUGGCUAAACGAGAAAUUAGCUUUCUUUGUUAUGGUUUGUUGAAUUUAACUUGUAAGUGAAAAGGCUUACAUGAUUCAGAAAGACGAGAAGACCCUAUAGAGUUUUACAAAGGCCUAAAAUACAGCUUAUUAGUUUUUAAGGGUUAUAUUUUGGAAAUUUGUUUGGUUGGGGCGACAUAAAGAUAAAAAAAACUCUUUGUAGUAUAAACUUUGGUGGAAGAAAAGGUUUGAUCCUCUAAAAGGGAUUAUAAGAAAAAAUUACCUUAGGGAUAACAGCGUAAUCUUCUUUUAGAGUUCAAAUCGACAAGAAGGUUUGCGACCUCGAUGUUGGACUAAAAUUUGGGCAAGGUGCAGCAGCUUUGUUUCUGGGUCUGUUCGACCCGUAAUAUUUUACAUGAUCUGAGUUCAGACCG